GCUUGUCUCAAAGAUUAAGCCAUGCAUGUCUAAGUAUAAAUCUUUUACUUUGAAACUGCGAACGGCUCAUUAUAUCAGUUAUAGUUUAUUUGAUAGUCCCUUACUACUUGGAUAACCGUAGUAAUUCUAGAGCUAAUACAUGCGUCAAUACCCUUCUGGGGUAGUAUUUAUUAGAUUGAAACCAACCGCUUCGGCGUGAUGUGGUGAUUCAUAAUAAAUUUGCGAAUCGCAUGGGCCUUGCCCGCGAUACAUCAUUCAAGUUUCUGCCCCAUCAGCUUUCGAUGGUAGUGUAUUGGACUACCAUGGCUUUAACGGGUAACGGAGGAUUAGGGUUCGAUUCCGGAGAGGGAGCCUGAGAAACGGCUACCACAUCUAAGGAAGGCAGCAGG
This 389-nucleotide ribosomal RNA is filed under the name Diatoma tenuis. Its description in RNAcentral is "partial small subunit ribosomal RNA". It matches the Rfam family "Eukaryotic small subunit ribosomal RNA", at positions 30 to 432 of the family's 1831-position model. The record is from RNAcentral. Lineage: Eukaryota; Bacillariophyta; Fragilariophyceae; Tabellariales; Tabellariaceae.